Molecule: transfer RNA, 70 nt
Filed under: Microbacterium sp. SGAir0570
Lineage: Bacteria; Bacillati; Actinomycetota; Actinomycetes; Micrococcales; Microbacteriaceae
Description: tRNA-Arg
Source: RNAcentral
ACCUCCGGCGGAGUCCACCCUAGGUUUCCGGUACCAAAGGUCGCAGGUUCGAUUCCUGUCGGGGGCACCA